GUCCCUGCUUUGAAGAAGAACCUGCAAACAUUGUUUUACAGGACAGGGAACCAGUUUGUUGCGCUGCCAACUUCUCUCAUGUUUUUCAUUCUCAUAACAGCUUCAGACGAGCAGUGACUGCAGAACUUGUGUGUGGCAGUACCGUCAAAAAUGAAAGCAACGCAUCUCUUGCUGUGCCUGCGCUGCUAAUGUGCUCAUCGGACGAGACAAACGCGCCUGCGGCUCACGGAGAGUCCAGUUAUACUAGGUUCAAGAUGCCGACGCAGCAGGGCGCCUGGAACCUUCCAAGACUUUCUCCCGCUUUCAGAAGUCACACGUGCAGAGUCACAGAAGCAUUCCUGGAAGCGAGUGCUUUGGCGUUGGUCAGUCUCACGAUGAGGGUGGUCACUACUGUGAGGUUUUGACAGUCACACCCCUUCCUCAAGGAGGCAUUUCUUGGAAGGACAGUGGAUCAUUAUAUAAGGAGGAAAUCGAUGGUGAGCCGGCUCCGGGCUCCGAGAGGACGUGGAGUGACGAGAGCAGCUGCGGGGCAGGCGGCCAGGGCGCUCCAGUCACUGAAGCCGGUACACAGGGCGUGGGGGGACCAGAGUGCUGAAGUCUGGGGCCAGAAGCAAACAUCCCAGUGGCACCUGAAAUCCAGUGUGUUUCUGCACGAGACCGUGGCGUCAGGGCCGGAAAGAGCAGACAGCUAGCAGAAGCCACAGGCGGCAGGCAGCUGUGGUUGGGGGUUCCGGCAGCGGAGAAAGCCGCGGCGCCGGAGAGCCGGUGUUGCGCGCCUGAAGAGCCCUCCCCGGAGUUUUCCAGACAGGAUUCCCUGGAACUGAAGCAUGCCUCACCUGCGAGCUGCCAGGGCUCUGUUCCCAGAGCAGACGAAACGUGACGCACUUACGGAACGCCGUUUAGUAAGACUUAUUUCCAGUCGGAGCGCGAUGGGGGCUUUCUACAAACAAAUACCUGCUGUGGACAAAGAGAUGCACAGAGAUCACAAAGAAGCUAAGGGACCCCGAACAGGCAGCGAUCUGCUGAGUGUUCAUGUGUUCAGACAAGGGCAACUUAAAAGAAUUAUCUGGUGUCAUGAAAGGUGAUAAAAUCCAGAAAAUCCUGCAGAAAGCGAAGAGAGCUUUAAAUAAGUGUGUUCAUCAAAGGUAUGAAGACACGUCAUUUAGAUGCCAUCGCAAUCAAGACACUAACAUCCGGUGCCAUGAAGUCAAAGGCUGAAAAAAGGAUCCAGAACUGAGGGAAACUGAAGAGAUAGCAAUACAGCAUGGAACAGGUGAUUCUUACCUGGCUUCUUUUGGCAUAAAAGAUAUUCCUGGGACACUUGAGGAACCUUAAAUGGAGUCCGAGGACUCAACCAAUGUUCAUUCCCUGAUACUGAUUAUUGUAUUGUGCUUGUGUGGAGAUGUCCUUAUUUACAGGAAGUACCACCAAAAGUACGUGGUGGCUGGUGGGACAUCAGGUUGGGGACCUGACUCACAAGUGACUAGGAAAAACUCGUUACUAAUUCCAGUAUUUAAGGUUUUUGUUUUUAAGUUACUAUUGUUUAAAAAUGCCCACUUGUAUAGUAAUCAGAAAUGUAAACUGAAAAAAGGUUAGAAAAAAUUAAGAAACCUGAGGAAACUAAGUAGAUAAAAAUGAGUGAUAGGAGUCCUCGCUCCAUGUUAUGUGUGUGAAACAGGGGCCUCUGCUUUGGAGAGGAGUUUGCAGAAUCUCCUCGAGUUGAAGCCAUGUGACCUGGGAUGACCCAGCAGUUCCACGUGGGCAGAGAUACCCUUGAGUUUUACAGAAACUGUACAAGGAAACGUGUCUCAGAGUCACCGUACCAACAUUCUUUGUAAUUGUGAAAAACUUGAAAUGACUGAAAUGUCCAUUGACAGAAACAAAUUCUGCUGCAGUGACAGACGAGUUGAGUGAUCGAGGCUGACCUACAGGUAUGGCAAGGAUCAGUCUUGAACAUGUAAAGUUGAGUGGGAACAAUGAGUCUGAAAGGACACCCACUGAGUGAGGACUUUGUGUACAAUUUGUAAGGCACCCAAAAAUACUCUCAUCUGUUACGUAUGCAUGUGUGUUUGCAUGUAUGAUGGAUGUGCAUUUGUAACAGGCCAAUUCCAGUAUAACUCUUACCUUUGGCAAAGGGGAGGGGGAGGGAAUAAGAAGAAAGGAACUUUAGCUGUAAAAUGUAGUAUCCGUGUGUGUUUUUUAAAUGUCAGAGCAAAUAUGCUAAUCAUCAACUGUUAAAUUAAGGUAUGAAGUAUGAGGUGGUCCCUUUUACGGUCUUCUGUUUCUUUUUCCAGUAUUGAGAAAUAUUGUACAGGUAAGUAGAGGCCUAUUUUCAAAAGGAAAGUCUGUUUGGAUAAAAUAAAGCAAGCACACAGGGUGGAGUUGUGCUAGAACAGGAGAGACGUGUGGAUGGGGUGCCUGUUUCUCUGGUACGGCACUCAGAGCAUUCCACACCACCCCACGACAACAACAAGGCUGUUUUUAUUAUUGCUCAUGAAUCUGCAUCAUCUGUGCCAAAAGCUCAUCAGGCUAACCAAGAGGAACAGCAUCCAAAGGAGACGGACCACAGCCAGCAGACACAGCAGAAGAACUGCAAUGCCGGUCUCAGCAGUGUGUACGCGCUGGCAGGUGCGCGUGGCUGGGCAGGCGUGAUGCACCACACACACAGUGGAGGUAAGGACGAAGACACAGUGACUGUCCAGCAAACGGCAACAACACAUCCUGAGGAAACAGCGCCCUUCUCUGACCCCUAGGACGGUGCCAGUGGGGGUGCCCGUGGUGCCGGUGCAGAGUCGCUGUUACACUACAGCACGACAUUCUGUUACUUUUUGUCAGGUGAUACGGUCUGCAUUUCUUAAACCUUGUUUGUUUGCUCUUUACUUGUGACUAUCUUCUGCUCUCCUACCCAGUAGCGCAAAUAUUCUAUGAAGUCAGGGACCUAGCCUGUAUGUCACUCACAACUUAACCGUCUAGCCCAGACUCCGGCACAGGCUAAAUUCUCCAUCAGUAUUGAUGGAACAGACACAAAAGCAGCAGAUGAAACAUCUUCUAUCCGGUCCCCCUAAUGCACGUAAACAUCUUGCAAGUCACUGGUAUUUUGAAAUGUACAUUAAAGCUACACUGUUGCUACUUCCAUCUUCCUGGUAAUAGCCAAUUCUUACAUGGCACUGUUAAAAUAAUAUGGAUGUCAACCAGUGAAUUACUGCCUAUGAGCAAAUGGGAUAGAUCAGUCUAACACUUGCAUAACAGAAAGCUCUUUACGCAAAGUAUUUCACCGUCCUGCGUGUGGAGUUGAUUCUAGCUCCGUGUGCAUCUAUUUUUAAUAGCAAGUUGAUUAUAUUUUACUGACAAGGAGAGGGCAGGCACUGCAAAACAAACAUAAUGCAUAUUGUUGGUGUGUAAAAUCCCAACAAAUGACAUCAGCUGUACCUUUUCAUACAAAAACUGAAUUAGCUUGGAAUACUAAAUUGUCCAAGAGAGACUCCAGCUAACUCAUUAUAUAUUUAUUGUUGAAAGGGUGACCAUGACCUGCGUAAUAUGUAUUUACAUAUUUAAAGCUAUAGUCAAUAUGAAAAUGAAUGAACAAGAGUAUUCAUGUAUGACUGUAUUGGCACAACACUGUAAACUGACUAUAACUCAAUUGAAAAAAAAAAAAAGAAAAUCCAGAUUUGUAUUAUGGAAACAAUGCCACUCUUCUCAAUUUUUUUGUAUUGGAAAAUAUACCUAGUUUAUAAAAAAUAUUUUAUUCAUGUUAACAUACAGUAAA
Camelus dromedarius (Arabian camel) is the source of this 3766-nucleotide long non-coding RNA. RefSeq lists it as uncharacterized. The transcript has 7 exons. The record is from RefSeq and is a predicted model, not a curated record. NCBI's taxonomy places the organism in Eukaryota, Metazoa, Chordata, Mammalia, Artiodactyla, Camelidae.